GAUGAAGAACGCAGCGAAAUGCGAUAAGUAAUGUGAAUUGCAGAAUUCAGUGAAUCAUCGAAUCUUUGAACGCACAUUGCGCCCGUCAGUAUUCUGGCGGGCAUGCCUGUUCGAGCGUCAUUACGCCCCUCAAGUCCCCUGUGGACUUGGUGUUGGGGAUCGGCGAGGCUGGUUUUCCAGCACAGCCGUCCCUUAAAUUAAUUGGCGGUCUCGCCGUGGCCCUCCUCUGCGCAGUAGUAAAACACUCGCAACAGGAGCCCGGCGCGGUCCACUGCCGUAAAACCCCCCAACUUUUUAUAGUUGACCUCGAAUCAGGUAGGACUACCCGCUGAACUUAAGCAUAUCAAGCGGAGGA
This 355-nucleotide unclassified non-coding RNA is filed under the name soil metagenome. Its description in RNAcentral is "partial contains 5.8S ribosomal RNA, internal transcribed spacer 2, and large subunit ribosomal RNA". The stretch from base 1 to 120 matches the Rfam family "5.8S ribosomal RNA", at positions 35 to 154 of the family's 154-position model. The record is from RNAcentral.